AUGCAGCUAUCAAGUGCCCUAUUUCGUGACAGUAAAAACACUCCUGUUUCCCAGGGACUUCACUGGUUUUCUGUGAGGCUUUCUAAAACGCAAAGAGGGAGAGCGGCUUCUUUAGUGCAGGAGGUUUUUGUACAACCACUGAACGACUUCGUAUCACUGUGGUACACUUUUGGUGGCGGCACAAAACUCUCAGUUGGACUAAACGAGAUUGUAGCUCUGUGGUGGACUUUCGGUGGUGGAACAAAACUAUCAGUUGGACGUGACGCCCCGCCCACCCUCACGGUCCUGCCCCCCUCCAGUGUACAGCUGCAGCAGGAGAAGGUCACACUCGUGUGUCUGGCCAACAAGGGCUUCCCCUCAGACUGGAAGCUGAGCUGGAAGGUAGCUGGUAGCAGCUGGAGCUCGGGGGUGAGCCAGAGCUCCGGGCUACUGCAGAAGGACGGCCUCUACAGCUGGAGCAGCACCCUGACCCUCCAGAAGGAGGAGUGGCUGAAGAAGACAGUGACCUGUGAGGCCACCAAGGACUCCCAGUCUCCUGUCACACAGACACUGAGUAGAGAGCAGUGUGCUGAGGCGUGA
Molecule: non-coding RNA, 579 nt
Organism: Electrophorus electricus (electric eel)
Lineage: Eukaryota; Metazoa; Chordata; Actinopteri; Gymnotiformes; Gymnotidae
Source: the annotation of a RefSeq genome assembly